RNAcentral lists this long non-coding RNA (2342 nucleotides) under Citrus sinensis (sweet orange). Its description in RNAcentral is "long non-coding RNA (CSIN_LNC003080)". Lineage: Eukaryota; Viridiplantae; Streptophyta; Magnoliopsida; Sapindales; Rutaceae. The record is from RNAcentral.
UUAUUAACCCAAAAGAAUAUACAAAAAUUCUCCCGAGUCUAGAACAAGAUACAUCAAGUAAGAGAGUACGGCUGUUGAACAUAUUCGUAUCUCCACAGCAUUUUGAGUUUGCACCCAAACAUUGGUCUAUUUGGUGUUUGUCCUGCAUACAUCCAAUGGUCAACAGGUCAAAGCGCUUCUGAGAACCGUAAAUCUGCAGGGCCAGGUCCCAAAAUUCCUUUCUGUUCGCUUAUCUUGCCUAGUCCAUGAGGUGCUGGUACUGGGGCUGACAAUGGUGGUGGUGGUUCUGCAAGAACAUUUUGACCAUCGUCUCUCCAGCCAGGCUCCUGUCACUCUCUCAUGACGAUCAGAAUUCAGAAGCAAACAAAGCAGAAGGCAUAUGAAAUGAAAGUUGGUCACAUCAAUUUCAUAGAGGAAAAAAAAAACAUGUAUCUGUCAGCACCUAAAACAAAUGAUACAAAUAUACAAUCACAGCAACAGGCAGGUACCAAACAUCAUCAGCAACAUUAUUUUCCUUUUAAAAGGAUUCCUAAUCUAUGAUCCUACGGGGAAAUUUACCUAUGAAGUGAGAAAAAGAAAAAUAAAUGAGGCAAUAUUUGAUUUCUCCAUCACUUAAAUCUUGAGAUAUUUUGGGGGAAAAAAGGGCACUUAACAAAAGCUAAAGAUACUCGCCUCAUUGUCUUGCAACAAUGGGGUUGCAAGGGGUGGAGCAACAUCUGGGUCAGGCUUUUGAAAUAUAAACGUACUAUAGAGACCUGUAAUGGAAAAAUCCCAAAAGAAUGAGUACAUAUGGAUAGAAUGUCAAAGCAAUGAAAGUUGAAGGUAGCCAUGUGACAGAUAAAAACCACACCUAGCACAUCAUAUGAUCUGGGAAGAAGUCUCCCUCUUGGAUCAAUCAGAUUUGGACCAGCACUCAUCAGCAUGCCUGCAAAUAGAGCUCUUUGGGCAGCAUUUCAGUUACAAAAAGGAAAAACAAUACACAUAUCUUCCAUAUAAAAAUAAACUGAAAUGCAAAAGCAAUAAUAAUUUUUAAUUUGAACAAGCGUGGAAACUAAAAAAGUUAAAAAUGUGACUCCUGCGCUUAAGAGUUAUAGAACAGAAAAGCAAUAUUCACCUACCUGUUAUCAUCAUAAAAUUCGUUCAAGUUCUGAAUCUCCACAUAUUCAAGACCAGCCUCCCUGGCCAACCUGAGUUGCAUAAUAUGGACAUAACGAUUUAGAUAUAUAACAGAUAUGAGCGCUUAAAGGUCCACAAAUUUUUUCUUAAGGAAAAAGGUGGAGUAGUAAAACAGUGGAAGAAUGCUUUAAAUGAUGUUUGUUACUCAUAUUAGGUUAAGUAGCCACACUCCAAGUUCAGGAUACCAUUUCUAUACCAACCAAACUCUCAGUCAUCAUUCACUCUGGAGGCAGCACAAUUUGUGAUACUUCAUUGAAGGUUGGACACAGUUUAAAUACAGAAUUUAUUCAUUUCUAUUGCAAUUUUCACAAUUCUGACAUGCACAAGGCAUAGGCAACAGGCACUAAUGCAUGUGGUGGCAAAUAUAAUCAGUUAGGGCAACCAAAUAUAUUUGUUUUUUUUCAAAUAGAUUGCCCGAUGCAUGCUAAGAGAGAACAUCUAUUGAACAUGUGCCUAUUUGAAGAUGCAAACAAGUUACAGCCUAAGUCGCAAAGUUUUAUUAACCCAAAAGAAUAUACAAAAAUUCUCCCGAGUCUAGAACAAGAUACAUCAAGUAAGAGAGUACGGCUGUUGAACAUAUUCGUAUCUCCACAGCAUUUUGAGUUUGCACCCAAACAUUGGUCUAUUUGGUGUUUGUCCUGCAUACAUCCAAUGGUCAACAGGUCAAAGCGCUUCUGAGAACCGUAAAUCUGCAGGGCCAGGUCCCAAAAUUCCUUUCUGUUCGCUUAUCUUGCCUAGUCCAUGAGGUGCUGGUACUGGGGCUGACAAUGGUGGUGGUGGUUCUGCAAGAACAUUUUGACCAUCGUCUCUCCAGCCAGGCUCCUGUCACUCUCUCAUGACGAUCAGAAUUCAGAAGCAAACAAAGCAGAAGGCAUAUGAAAUGAAAGUUGGUCACAUCAAUUUCAUAGAGGAAAAAAAAAACAUGUAUCUGUCAGCACCUAAAACAAAUGAUACAAAUAUACAAUCACAGCAACAGGCAGGUACCAAACAUCAUCAGCAACAUUAUUUUCCUUUUAAAAGGAUUCCUAAUCUAUGAUCCUACGGGGAAAUUUACCUAUGAAGUGAGAAAAAGAAAAAUAAAUGAGGCAAUAUUUGAUUUCUCCAUCACUUAAAUCUUGAGAUAUUUUGGGGGAAAAAAGGGCACUUAACAAAAGCUAAAGAUACUC